RNAcentral lists this long non-coding RNA (1104 nucleotides) under Sarcophilus harrisii (Tasmanian devil). Its description in RNAcentral is "lncRNA (ENSSHAG00000029388.1)". The record is from RNAcentral. Lineage: Eukaryota; Metazoa; Chordata; Mammalia; Dasyuromorphia; Dasyuridae.
AGAAUGUAGAACUUAUGUGAUGGGCUAAAUUGCAAAGAGGCGAUCAGACAUCAGGAAGUACUUGAUAACAAUUAGAAUAAUUCAAAAAUGUAUAAUGGACUUCCUGGGGAGAUGAUAAUUUUUCCCUCCAAAUGUUUUCAAACAGCCUGGAUGAAUAUUUCUUAUGUAUGUUAUAGUGGAUAUUCUUUUCUGUUUGGAUUGGAUCAUACUGGAAAGUAUCAUCUUCAAAUUCUGGUAUUCUUCUAAAUUAUUUUUAUAGCUCCUGCCAGUCCUGAAUCUGUGAUUCUAUGCACAGAAUUUCUCAAACAUAGGAACGCAUUCUGAGCGUUUCUUCAAGUCUGGAUUCCCCUAAGGACCAGCCCUCUCUUCAAUGAUCCAGGAUCUAAUCUUGACUUAUUAACCUCAUUUGUUCCUCCUUCAUAUACAACUGCCAAAGAAUGGAGAAACGAAAAAAGGCCAAGCUCAAGCUAGGCCAUGGGAUCACUAAGUUCAAUUUUGGGGGAAAGGAGAUGGAAACUUCUGGCCAAAAAUGAGGCUUGUAAAUUGUGGGAAUAGUGCCUUCACUAUAUCAAACAGUUGACCUAGACACAAACUCAUUUUUAUUAUUAUUUUAUUUUAUUUUUAUUUAAUAGCCUUUUAUUUACAGGUUAUAUGUAUGGGUAACUUUACAGCAUUAACAAUUGCCAAACCUCUUGUUCCAAUUUUUUACCUCUUACCUCCCCACCCCCUCCCCCAGAUGGCAGGAUGACCAGUAGAUGUUAAAUAUAUUAAAAUAUAAAUUAGAUACACAAUAAGUCUACAUGACCAAACCGUUAUUUUGCUGUACAAAAAGAAUCAGACUCUGAAAUAUUGUACAAUUAGCUUGUGAAGGAAAUAAAAAAUGCAGGUGGGCAUAAAUAUAGGGAUUGGGAAUUCAAUGUAAUGGUUUUUAGCCAUCUCCCAGAGUUCUUUUUCUGGGCAUAGCUGGUUCAGUUCAUUACUGCUCCAUUGGAAAUGAUUUAGUUGAUCUCAUUGCUGAGGAUGGCCAGGUCCAUCAGAACUGGUCAUCAUAUAGUAUUGUUGUUGAAGUAUAUAAUGAUCUCCUGGUCCUGCUCAUUUCACUCA